UACGUAGGGUGCGAGCGUUAAUCGGAAUUACUGGGCGUAAAGCGUGCGCAGGCGGUAAGUUAAGUCUGUUGUGAAAGCCCUGGGCUCAACCUGGGAAUUGCAGUGGAUACUGGGCGACUAGAGUGUGGUAGAGGGUAGUGGAAUUCCUGGUGUAGCAGUGAAAUGCGUAGAGAUCAGGAGGAACAUCCAUGGCGAAGGCAGCUACCUGGACCAACACUGACACUGAGGCACGAAAGCGUGGGGAGCAAACAGG
This 253-nucleotide ribosomal RNA is filed under the name uncultured bacterium. RNAcentral's name for it is "partial 16S ribosomal RNA". It matches the Rfam family "Bacterial small subunit ribosomal RNA", at positions 524 to 776 of the family's 1533-position model. The record is from RNAcentral.